AGCUUUUGUGGCCUCAGCCUACAUUCCUGAGAGCCUGGGCAGCUUGCAAGGCGAUGAUGACAAGAUCUACUUUUUCUUCAGCGAGACUGGCCAGGAAUUUGAGUUCUUUGAGAACACCAUUGUGUCCCGCAUUGCCCGCAUCUGCAAGACAGGAUCUUUGCUCUGUCACCCAGGCUGGAGUGCAGUGGCACGAUCACGGUUCACUGCAGCCUCGACCUCCUGGGCUCAAGCAGUUCUCCUACCUCAG
This 247-nucleotide long non-coding RNA is filed under the name Homo sapiens (human). RNAcentral's name for it is "HSALNT0224472". The record is from RNAcentral. Lineage: Eukaryota; Metazoa; Chordata; Mammalia; Primates; Hominidae.